UCUCCGUAGGUGAACCUGCGGAGGGAUCACUACAGGCUUGCAAAAGCUCUGAAACCACUGUUUAUCUACCUGAAUCUGCUUCGGCGGGCGGCCCCAGGGCGGGGCCGUAGCCGCAAGGCGCCCGCCGAAGACCCCUAAACUCUGUCGUCUUGAGAAUCUCUUAGUAUCAUAUUAAACAGAAAACAACUUUUAACAACGGAUCUCUUGGUUCUG
This 213-nucleotide unclassified non-coding RNA is filed under the name plant metagenome. RNAcentral describes it as "partial contains small subunit ribosomal RNA, internal transcribed spacer 1, and 5.8S ribosomal RNA". The record is from RNAcentral.